RNAcentral lists this ribosomal RNA (583 nucleotides) under Pachyphlodes sp. 17 RH-2014. RNAcentral's name for it is "eukaryotic LSU rRNA". It matches the Rfam family "Eukaryotic large subunit ribosomal RNA", at positions 13 to 595 of the family's 3401-position model. The record is from RNAcentral. Lineage: Eukaryota; Fungi; Ascomycota; Pezizomycetes; Pezizales; Pezizaceae.
AGGUAGGGAUACCCGCUGAACUUAAGCAUAUCAAUAAGCGGAGGAAAAGAAACCAACAGGGAUUGCCUCAGUAACGGCGAGUGAAGCGGCAAAAGCUCAGAUUUGAAAUCUGGUGUUAUAUUUUGACACCCGAGUUGUAAUCUGUAGAGGAGUGUUCGGAGUAUGACUUUGGUUAAAGUUCCUUGGAAAAGGGCAUCAUAGAGGGUGAGAAUCCUGUUUAUGACCAUAGUACUUCUCUAUAUGAAUCUCCUUCAAUGAGUCGAGUUGUUUGGGAAUGCAGCUCUAAAUGGGUGGUAAAUUCCAUCUAAAGCUAAAUAUUGGCAAGAGACCGAUAGCGCACAAGUAGAGUGAUCGAAAGAUGAAAAGAACUCUGAACAGAGAGUUAAAAAGUACGUGAAAUUGUUGAAAGGGAAGCACUUGUGACCAGACAUAUUUGCAAUUAAUCAGCCAUCAAUUUUGGUGGUGCACUUGAUUGUAAGUGGGUCAGCAUCAGUUAUAGCAGUGGGACAAAGACGCAAAGAAUGUGGCUCCUCUUUCGAGGAGUGUUAUAGCUUUGAGUUGAAUACUGCUUGCUAUAACUGAG